This 1021-nucleotide ribosomal RNA is filed under the name Escherichia coli. Its description in RNAcentral is "partial 23S ribosomal RNA". It matches the Rfam family "Bacterial large subunit ribosomal RNA", at positions 438 to 1456 of the family's 2925-position model. The record is from RNAcentral. Lineage: Bacteria; Pseudomonadati; Pseudomonadota; Gammaproteobacteria; Enterobacterales; Enterobacteriaceae.
CUGAAUAUGGGGGGACCAUCCUCCAAGGCUAAAUACUCCUGACUGACCGAUAGUGAACCAGUACCGUGAGGGAAAGGCGAAAAGAACCCCGGCGAGGGGAGUGAAAAAGAACCUGAAACCGUGUACGUACAAGCAGUGGGAGCACAGAGCAAUCUGUGUGACUGCGUACCUUUUGUAUAAUGGGUCAGCGACUUAUAUUCUGUAGCAAGGUUAACCGAAUAGGGGAGCCGAAGGGAAACCGAGUCUUAACUGGGCGUUAAGUUGCAGGGUAUAGACCCGAAACCCGGUGAUCUAGCCAUGGGCAGGUUGAAGGUUGGGUAACACUAACUGGAGGACCGAACCGACUAAUGUUGAAAAAUUAGCGGAUGACUUGUGGCUGGGGGUGAAAGGCCAAUCAAACCGGGAGAUAGCUGGUUCUCCCCGAAAGCUAUUUAGGUAGCGCCUCGUGAAUUCAUCUCCGGGGGUAGAGCACUGUUUCGGCAAGGGGGUCAUCCCGACUUACCAACCCGAUGCAAACUGCGAAUACCGGAGAAUGUUAUCACGGGAGACACACGGCGGGUGCUAACGUCCGUCGUGAAGAGGGAAACAACCCAGACCGCCAGCUAAGGUCCCAAAGUCAUGGUUAAGUGGGAAACGAUGUGGGAAGGCCCAGACAGCCAGGAUGUUGGCUUAGAAGCAGCCAUCAUUUAAAGAAAGCGUAAUAGCUCACUGGUCGAGUCGGCCUGCGCGGAAGAUGUAACGGGGCUAAACCAUGCACCGAAGCUGCGGCAGCGACGCUGAUGCGUUGUUGGGUAGGGGAGCGUUCUGUAAGCCUGUGAAGGUGUGCUGUGAGGCAUGCUGGAGGUAUCAGAAGUGCGAAUGCUGACAUAAGUAACGAUAAAGCGGGUGAAAAGCCCGCUCGCCGGAAGACCAAGGGUUCCUGUCCAACGUUAAUCGGGGCAGGGUGAGUCGACCCCUAAGGCGAGGCCGAAAGGCGUAGUCGAUGGGAAACAGGUUAAUAUUCCUGUACUUGGUGUUACUG